This 402-nucleotide ribosomal RNA is filed under the name uncultured microorganism. RNAcentral describes it as "bacterial SSU rRNA". It matches the Rfam family "Bacterial small subunit ribosomal RNA", at positions 9 to 407 of the family's 1533-position model. The record is from RNAcentral.
GAGUUUGAUCCUGGCUCAAAUUGAACGCUGGCGGCAUGCCUUACACAUGCAAGUCGAACGGCAGCAUGAUCUAGCUUGCUAGAUUGAUGGCGAGUGGCGAACGGGUGAGUAAUACAUCGGAACGCGCCCUGUAGUGGGGGAUAACUAGUCGAAAGAUUAGCUAAUACCGCAUACGACCUGAGGGUGAAAGUGGGGGACCGCAAGGCCUCAUGCUAUAGGAGCGGCCGAUGUCUGAUUAGCUAGUUGGUGGGGUAAAGGCCCACCAAGGCGACGAUCAGUAGCUGGUCUGAGAGGACGAUCAGCCACACUGGGACUGAGACACGGCCCAGACUCCUACGGGAGGCAGCAGUGGGGAAUUUUGGACAAUGGGCGAAAGCCUGAUCCAGCAAUGCCGCGUGUGUG